UUAUUUAAUUAAUGAUUACAUAAUUAUUCAUGUAAUAUUGAGUGAUUAUAUCUAUCGCUACUGAACUAAAUAACUGACCCAUGGUAAAUUGAUGUUCGUUGUAGGGGCUCCUUUUCCCUAUAAAGAUUAUUCAUCAGAGACACCUUCCACACAACCUCUUUUGCUCUCUUUGCUCUGCUAGCAACAUAAUCGAUCAGGACGUAAUGGCUCUUUCUAAGGCAUCAAUGGUGCUCUUUGUUACAAUCUUGCUAGUGAUGUCCUCUCAUCAAGUGUUGUCUGCGGAAAAAACUGAAUUCCCAGAAACUAAUAAGCUAGUUACAGGAAGGAAAUUAGCUCAAAGCACUAAUUUUCCUCCUAAUCAGCAAUAUGGAAGAAGUCCAGGAGGAGGAUGCUACCCACCGUACUGUAGUUAAGGGUCAAUAAAUAGGUACAGUGGUAGAGAAAAGUUAUAUCUACAAAGCAAAUAAAUGGGUCGCAUAUGGUGUAUAUAUACAUCAGGCCAAUUCUCUGCCGCUGUUUCUGUUGUCCGACGACUGGAGUCCUAGGAUUGUAAGAGCAUAUGUUUAGUAUGUGUAAUUGAACGCUGUCUGCAGAUGCCAAAUCGUCUGCUUUGAGUUGCAGUGAUGCAAGUUGUUGUUGGUUAUUUUUAUUACUUUCUGGUGCGGGUCAUUCCAUCCUUAAUAUUAGGAUAAGUUAUGUAAUAAAACCAUGUUUUAAGUUGUUGAUUAUGUCAGUAUCAUUUGGACUCUCUCAUGUUCAGUAUGCUCUAAAGUGAAUAAGAUGAAAUCAUGUUUAUGCUAAA
Molecule: long non-coding RNA, 802 nt
Organism: Ricinus communis (castor bean)
Lineage: Eukaryota; Viridiplantae; Streptophyta; Magnoliopsida; Malpighiales; Euphorbiaceae
Exons: 2
Source: RefSeq, a predicted model, not a curated record